Molecule: unclassified non-coding RNA, 1810 nt
Filed under: Leishmania donovani
Lineage: Eukaryota; Euglenozoa; Kinetoplastea; Trypanosomatida; Trypanosomatidae
Description: gene:LdHU3.28.0030(CDS-product:hypothetical_prote in_conserved)
Source: RNAcentral
GCUGGCAACCACUCAGAUCAUUAGCGGACUGUGUAGAAUGAAAUAAUGCGCAGAGUACAUUUGUGGACGCUGCGCGGGUGCCAGCAUCGACGGCUUACUCUUCGACCGGAGUCGACCCUUGAUCCGGCGCGGUAUCCUCUCGGCUAUGUUCCUGUGGACGGAAGUGAGUCGAUUGAUUCGGUGUAUGCGCUACUAAAGCGAGGUCACUUUGUGGCACCGCUGAAUCGAAUCGAGGUGAUCCACAAGGUAAGUGUGGGAGCGCGGGCGUUGUGUAGAUCGGAGUACCCCAUUGUCUCGGCGCAAGAUGUGCUGACGUUGCACCUGCGAGAAAAAGAGAUCCUCGGUCGUGUUCUCAUUCGCCGAGACUUUUGGACGCUCGAUGAUUUCAACGACGCCGAGCUGAAUCAAAGUUUCGGUGUACAGAACCUGUACUUUGAUAACUACAAGUGGUCUCAUGUUCUGUGGCGGCGCUUUCAGGCAUAUGUAGAGGAGUAUUUUCCGGUAUCAGAGCACACGCACCUGCUAUACAGCGAGUAUGUGCAGCUGGUACGCAGUUUCUCCUCGUUUGAGCAGGGGACGUUGGUGAAGCCGGCGCUGCCAAAGUCUGUCCGGUUGCACUUGCCCUAUGGUGCACUGCCGCCUAGCAAAUUUACCCAGGAGCCGAUCUUGCUGCUCAAGAACUGGCUUCAAAAUUUUCGUGGGCCCCUCAUGCUGCACAAGGCCCUUGUUCUCAAUGCCGGCUCAGGUGUUGUGGCGUUUGCAACAAAGGUUUGCCAUGUGCCGAUGGUGCGCGGAGUGGACUCGCGGCCUCGGUUCAUCGAAGCAUGUCGGAAGGAUGCCGCUCGCUCGCCAAAGCUGUCGAAUGUCAGCUUUCAGGUGGCGGAGUUGUUUCCGGAAGUCACUGACGAGAUGAGGGAAGGGUCCCGAAAGGGCAAAUACGACCUUGUGAUUUUUUACCCGGAUGAGGAGAUUGUGUCCGCGCUGUGGGAGGGUGAGAACGACGCAUUUGCGCCAACUGCACAGGGCUAUGCCGGGAAACUAGAGGAAUUCUUCGAGAAGGUAUCUCCGCAUCUUACGGAGAACGGUGUGAUCGCAGUGUGCUGUACGAAUAUCCACGCGUUGUUGUUUCCGGACUACCCACACCCCAUCGAGUAUGAGGUGAAAAUCAAUCGCCGAUUUGUUAUCCUGGACUAUUAUGACACUCCGGCACGGUACUCUGGCAAUAUUCGCACAAAGUUUUUGGAGCCGGCUAUUGAAUGCCAUCCCGAGUUGAAGAGGAAGCUGCGCUCCGAGCUGUGGAUUCUGCACAGGACUGAGUCGAUUGGUCACUUUGGGUUCAUUCACGGCAUUCCUGGCGCCAAGCCGCCGAGUAUGGAAAAAUGGCGGACGAAGAAUAUGGGGCUGGAGCGGCAGAAAGCGUUGAAGGAUCACGUGCGCUUGAUGGGCGGUGACUGGGGGGACUACAAGAGUCGCCUUAUCAGGAUGCUCCAGGAGCAAACAGAUGAGCCGGAAGACGAUGUAGCGGAGGCUGUUCGGAUGACUCUAGAUCCAACGUAUCCAGCGAUUCUGGCGGAGCGCGCUCGCAAGGCGGUGGAGAUGCGCGAGAAAGACAGAGAGGAAUUUCACCGCUCUGUAGCCCUCGAGUACUGCGACUGCUCUCCGAGAGAGGCGUUUAGGAGGAGAAACGUCUCAUCGUGAAACUGCUAUUCGUGGAUGUGCGUAUAUAAGAUACUCUUCGCAUGCAUUGCUUUUUUUGUGUGUGUGUGUCUUCUCAUAAUUGUGUAGUGGUUUGUUCUUGCGGAUAGCGUUC